This 422-nucleotide ribosomal RNA is filed under the name uncultured bacterium. Its description in RNAcentral is "bacterial SSU rRNA". It matches the Rfam family "Bacterial small subunit ribosomal RNA", at positions 355 to 774 of the family's 1533-position model. The record is from RNAcentral.
UGAGGAAUAUUGGACAAUGGGCGCAAGCCUGAUCCAGCCAUGCCGCGUUCAGGAAGAAGCAUCUAUGGUGUGUAAACUGCUUUUGUACGGGAAGAAACACUCCUUCGUGAAGGAGCUUGACGGUACCGUAAGAAUAAGGAUCGGCUAACUCCGUGCCAGCAGCCGCGGUAAUACGGAGGAUUCAAGCGUUAUCCGGAAUCAUUGGGUUUAAAGGGUCCGUAGGCGGUUUAGUAAGUCAGUGGUGAAAGCCCAGCGCUCAACGAUGGAACGGCCAUUGAUACUGCUAGGCUUGAAUUAGUAGGAAGUAACGAAAAUAUGUAGUGUAGCGGGGAAAUGGUUAGAAAUUACAGGGAAUACCAAUGGCGAAGGCAGGUUACUACUAAUGGAUCGAGGCUGAUGGACGAAAGCGUGGGGGGCGAACA